RNAcentral lists this ribosomal RNA (566 nucleotides) under Rhabditida sp. 3051ed. Its description in RNAcentral is "partial 28S ribosomal RNA". It matches the Rfam family "Eukaryotic large subunit ribosomal RNA", at positions 386 to 798 of the family's 3401-position model. The record is from RNAcentral. Lineage: Eukaryota; Metazoa; Nematoda; Chromadorea; Rhabditida.
AGUUAAUAGUACGUGAAACUGAAUAAGUGGAAGCGUAUAGAGUUGUCGAAAGAUGGUAAUAAUAAGUUGUAUGGUAGUGUAACAGUUUGCAAAAUGUUUCCGUAUGGUUCAUUUUGUGAAUGUAGUUUGCUGCUAUGCAAUGCACUUGUUGCCAUUGUGCUGAUACAAUUGAUUAAAACUUUUGAAAUAAUAUUAGAGGGCAUUCUUUACGGAAUGUAUCCUGAUCUUAUGGAUAAAGUAUUUGGUUAAUUGCAAAUCUGAAGUAUAAAAGAGGGUGUAAGUAUGGUAGUGAAUUAGAGUUAACGCUUGCGUUCGCUUUCUUACAUUGCUAUAUCUUAUACAUUAUGAUAUGCUUCAAUAUCAGUAUAAAAGACAAUCACCUAUAUGUCCCGUCUUGAAACACGGACCAAGGAGUUUAUCGUAUGUGCGAGUCAUUAAGUGUAUAAAACUUAUUGGCGUAAUGAAAGUAAAGUGUUCUUUUUUGAGCAUGAUAUAUGAUUAUCUAAUCUACGGAGAAGAUAAGCAGUAUAGUCCCAUCCAAUUUGUUUACAAAUGGGUGGAGAUAG